CAGUAGCCACGGUAAUACGUAGGGUGCGAGCGUUGUCCGGAAUUACUGGGCGUAAAGAGCUCGUAGGCGGUUUGUCGCGUCGUCUGUGAAAUUCUGCAGCUUAACUGUAGGCGUGCAGGCGAUACGGGCAGACUUGAGUACUACAGGGGAGACUGGAAUUCCUGGUGUAGCGGUGAAAUGCGCAGAUAUCAGGAGGAACACCGGUGGCGAAGGCGGGUCUCUGGGUAGUAACUGACGCUGAGGAGCGAAAGCGUGGGUAGCGUACAGGAUUAGAUACCCGAGUAGUCCCUGUCUCUUAUAA
This 301-nucleotide ribosomal RNA is filed under the name uncultured bacterium. RNAcentral's name for it is "partial 16S ribosomal RNA". It matches the Rfam family "Bacterial small subunit ribosomal RNA", at positions 509 to 809 of the family's 1533-position model. The record is from RNAcentral.